This 77-nucleotide transfer RNA is filed under the name Mailhella sp. Its description in RNAcentral is "tRNA-Arg". It matches the Rfam family "tRNA". Rfam says of the family: Transfer RNA (tRNA) molecules are approximately 80 nucleotides in length. The record is from RNAcentral. Lineage: Bacteria; Pseudomonadati; Thermodesulfobacteriota; Desulfovibrionia; Desulfovibrionales; Desulfovibrionaceae.
GCGCCCGUGGCUCAGUUGGAUAGAGCAACUGGCUACGAACCAGUAGGUCGGGAGUUCGAAUCUCUCCGGGCGCACCA